UGUUGAACGGAAAAUUCUGUUGAUGCAGUGGUGAUUGUGGAUGCGUACCCGGAAAGGCGACCUGUGUACGACUACCCAGCUCCUCGGCCGUCGUACGACUACGGGCCGACCUACGCCGAAUAUGUGGAGGUCCCUCUGAAGGUAAAAAAAAAAAAGCCCAAGAAGGCAAAGAAGCAAAAAGUUACCAUUGUCCAAGCAAGACCGGCGUAUGACUACUACGACUACGGAAAUUCCUAUAAUAACUACGAUGACUACGAAGUUGUGCCUAAAAUCAAGAAGACCAAACACGUCAAGAAGACCUACCGGCAAUACCGGGAGCCUGUCUACUACGAUGAGCCCAAGAAAGGUGAGCUAUGCGGCACGAAAACGUCAAUGGCGAUACCAAUGAGCC
RNAcentral lists this long non-coding RNA (391 nucleotides) under Dermacentor andersoni. RNAcentral describes it as "uncharacterized LOC126529785". Lineage: Eukaryota; Metazoa; Arthropoda; Arachnida; Ixodida; Ixodidae. The record is from RNAcentral.